RNAcentral lists this long non-coding RNA (2239 nucleotides) under Homo sapiens (human). RNAcentral's name for it is "HSALNT0348371". The record is from RNAcentral. Lineage: Eukaryota; Metazoa; Chordata; Mammalia; Primates; Hominidae.
GCCACUUUUUGCCUUGAGUAGAUUGUAUAACCCAGGGAGUCGCCAAAGAAUUCUGUGUUUUUAUUUAGGAACAUGAAGAUUAGUACAAUCCCAUCUAUAUAACAUAACAUGAAAUGAUGAUUUGGUGGUAAAAAUUGGAUCAACAAACUGGCAGUCUUAAAAAGCUAUCAAGGUUUGAUUUGCUACUGAUCUAUAUUAUAUGAUGUAGAAUUUUAAGAAAUCAGGUUCUGCUAAUCACUCCUUCCCUGGAAAGGAUCUCAAGGGAACUGUACACACAGGUAACAUCUAGGGAAGGGCAACCAUUGUCCCACUUAAUCAGCUGAGUUAGUGUGCAAAGCAUAGCUCCAGCAAAACUGGAGUGGAACAAAGCAGUUUUGACCUGAUAUCCAAGAGGAGUUUCUUUCUUUCUUUUAAAGCUAAGGUUUGGAUGGACUUGUGGGGAAAAGAAAGAGAAACUUAGAGCUUACCUUGAGGCAGGCCCUGGUCCUUUUAUUAGCCAGUAGCAUGGAUUAGGAAAUAGUAGAAGAGAGUAAAACGUACCAUUGGACGUGAACUCCUCCUACCAGGAAAUGUAUCCUCUUCAGAGUGUUCAACUUUGACCCUUCCACUUAGCAGCAUUCCUCUUGGAGGAGGUGGUAGACAGAAGAGGUCUGAGAAUUUCUGCUCUACAGCUUGAGCUGAGGUUGUGGCACUGCGCCUGGAGAUGGCUGGAUAGAAUCAAGACAUUGCCAAAGCGUCUGAGCAGUCUUCAGAUUUUGGUGGGUAAACCUGAGCCCAUGGAAGACAGUGAGAAGAUGCACCUGGCUGACAAGAGAAGUAAGGGAAGAAGGCAUCAGCCAGCAUCAUGGAAGGUCAUGUGUUGGUGUCCCCCGUCCUCGCAUUAGAAUAUCAGGUUGGCCUCUUGGCCUCUUGUGGACUAUUGUAGGCCCACAAGAAUAGGAGUUAUUUGACUUUUUUUUUUCUCCUGAAUAUGGAGGGUCAAGUGAUUACCACAAUCUCAGCUUUUUAUGCUCUUUAGUUUUGAAGAGGGAGUUUUAUUGAUAUUGACUUUAAGAAUUACCUCUAUUAAAAAUUUGUGGACUAUAAAAUGUUUAAUAUUUUGGUAAUGCACUCAUAAAUCUUGAAGGUUGUUGAAUAAAGUGCUUAAUUUCAUAAAUAUUUUAACAAUUAUUAAUAUAAAAUCAAUAUUUCAGCAUUUAAUAAGUAAACAAACCAUUAUUUAGGAUAAUUCUAAAUAAUUGUUAAUAAUGUAACCAUGUACCACUAUGCAUAAAUCUUACCUUGUGUGCUGUGAAUCUCUUUAACUUACAAACAUUAUCUGUAUUAAAACCAAUUCUAUCUCAAGGUUUUUCAAUUGCAACAAAGUGAUUGGUAGUAAUUUUAGGACUACAAUUUUACAGAAAGGAAAUUGGCUCUGAAAGGUAAUUCUCUGGUCCUAAUUAGAUUCAUAAUAUAUGCAUCUCAGCUAAAAGUUAUUUCAGUUCUGCAAGUCUCUGAAGUAAAAACUGAACUAUAAAGGGACAACCAUCAGGCAGAUAUGGAUGAUAUUGGAAGGCAGAUAUUGGAAAUCUGUUAUAAUGGUUUUUUUUGUACUCAUCAUUUUUGCUGCUAUUUAUGACCAUGCUGCCUUGACUUUAUAGCCUUGGUUCUUUAUAUUAAUCAUAGAUACAAGCACUUGCAACAUUGUAUCAUUUAAUUUAGAAAACUGAAUAGGGAAUUUCAGUUUAUCCUUCUUGACUGAAAGCAACUAUAAGUGCAAAUUUCUCCCUUUACUAUGGCAUUUAAAUCUUGAAGAUGCCAUCUUAAGAGAAUGAUAAUUAUAUCCAAACCUAUACAAAUGCUGACAUUUAUUUAACUCUUUCUUUGUGCUUGCCCUGUGUUGGGCCAUAAGCUCCCUUUCUUCUGGGCUUUGCCUGGAAUAUUCUCUUAGUUCCCUUCUUUCCUUCCUAUCACCUUUGCAAGGUUCCUCGUGUAAGACUUAAACAACACUACCCUAAUCCUUCUGAAAUGGAUUAAGUCUCUUAUGUGAUCCUGUAACUUCCAAUACUUCUUUCUUUCUAAAAACUUCACAUGUAAAUAUUUAUUUACUCUGGGUUUUUCAUGUUAAACUCUGAGAUCUGUAGGUGCAGGGAUAAUAUCGUGUCUACUUCAUUUAUCACUUAAUUUCUUGUAACUGGUUAAGUGAUGAGCACAAAGGAGUUGUUCAAUAAAUAUUAGUUGAAUAAAAGAAUCAUAUUGA